RNAcentral lists this unclassified non-coding RNA (421 nucleotides) under soil metagenome. RNAcentral's name for it is "partial contains 5.8S ribosomal RNA, internal transcribed spacer 2, and large subunit ribosomal RNA". The stretch from base 1 to 120 matches the Rfam family "5.8S ribosomal RNA", at positions 35 to 154 of the family's 154-position model. The record is from RNAcentral.
GAUGAAGAACGCAGCGAAAUGCGAUACGUAAUGUGAAUUGCAGAAUUCAGUGAAUCAUCGAAUCUUUGAACGCAUAUUGCGCUCUUUGGUAUUCCGAAGAGCAUGCUUGUUUGAGUAUCAGUAAACACCUCAACCUCUUCUUGAUUUUUCAAAAGGAGGGUGGACUUGAGCUAUCCCAACAACCUUUACCGGUCGGCGGGCGGCUUGAAAUGCAGGUGCAGCUGGACUUUUAUCUGAGCUAAAAGCAUAUCUAUUUAGUCCUCGUCAAACAGGAUUAUUACUUUUGCUGCAGCUAACAUAAAGGAUAAUUGUCCUCUUUGCUGACUGAUGCAGGAUUUUACGACACUUUAUGUGUCGUUCAACUCGAUCUCAAAUCAAGUAAGACUACCCGCUGAACUUAAGCAUAUCAAUAAGCGGAGGA